Gorilla gorilla gorilla (western lowland gorilla) is the source of this 90-nucleotide microRNA precursor. It matches the Rfam family "mir-663 microRNA precursor family". NCBI's taxonomy places the organism in Eukaryota, Metazoa, Chordata, Mammalia, Primates, Hominidae. The record is from Rfam.
CAGUCCGGCUUCCUAGGUGGGGCGCCGCGGGACCUCCCUCAUAUCUGUGGCGGUGGAAUCCCGUGGCCAUGUUUUCCUGGUGGCACGGCC